GUGAGAUUUCACAUCCUGGAGCGACUGAGCGUACGUGAUAUUUUAAACCAGUAAACAAACCCCACUGUGCAUGAUCGUUUCACCUCUGUAUCUGUUCUCCCUCGAUCCCCCACUCAGUUCCCAACUCGAGGGUUUUUCGAUAAUCCAUUUUCACUCCAAAUUUAUCCCUAACUUUGCUCCGCUUCUUCUCUAACCUAAAAUUCCUCCUCUUUUAGGGUUUAUUAAAGAUCUUAUGUGAUUAUUUUCCCACCCCAAUCUCUAUUUAUGCUUCUUCAAGGAUUCUAUUGAUCUGGGGUUCUUGAAUUUCGUUUCUUUCUUUUUGUUUUUGAAUACCACCUUAGUGUUUCUAGAACUAGCUUCUCCCUUUUUCUCUCCUUGUUUCCUGAGGAAAAUUUUGGUAUCUCAUGGUUCUUGGGCUUCUAGUAUUUCAAUUGGUUGGUGAUUAAUGGAUUAUUUUUGACAUGAGGGUUCAAAUAUGAG
Molecule: unclassified non-coding RNA, 480 nt
Filed under: Hevea brasiliensis (rubber tree)
Lineage: Eukaryota; Viridiplantae; Streptophyta; Magnoliopsida; Malpighiales; Euphorbiaceae
Source: RNAcentral